CGGAAAAAGUGACACGUUCAAACACAACGUAGGAAAACAGACACACGUGCAGUGAAGACGAAGAAUAAAGUUUUAUGUUGCGAACAGUAAUGUAUGCGAUAGUGCAAACUACCGGCCCAAAGGAACAAAAGAAAUUGUCUGUUGUGCCAAAACUAUGGCUAAGAAAUCCAAAAAAACAGUAGUAGGAUGCCCAACGAAAUGCACCAUUGAGCAACAGCAGCGGAAGAAUUUGCCAGAGAUGUCUUGGUCAUCCGUCGAGUGUAUUGUUGAAAGAGAAUUUGCAACUUUUGCGGAGGCAAACAUAGCAGUUGGUUGAGAUGUCCGACAUGUCAUCCAGCAGUAGCUCCUGACAUCCUAGUGUUGCUAAGAAAACGAAAACAAUACAUAACACCGACUACAACCCUGAAAUAAUAGAAAUCGACCGAAACAUCAUCCAUGCGUCUCAGGAACGCAAGCUAGUAUAUCAGUAUAUCUACUGCAAAUGGAAAAGACAGCGGUCAUGGAAAGAAAAAUACACCGUCUUACUGACCGAAUGGACAAAAUGGAUGGAUCGCUUUCAGAUACGCUAAUAAUGCUGCCAUCGAUCUUAUAAGAACUAUACGUAGAGACUCCAUGUCAGACACCAACAUUCACUUUUGAUGCAGCCAAUUCUAUCGAGCAGUUGGAAGAACUGGAAACGAAACCGAAUGAUGAAUCUUUCCACCAAGAUAUGGUUCGUUGUCUGGAAUGGAAUGUGAUUGGAUCGAAAUCAGAAAAGCGAAUGAACAUAUUCUUGGACCUUUUCGACUCAACUUUCGAUCCUUUCGACCUUUCGACUGACCUGCAGUGCGAUGACACUUGGACCGAAACUACGAUCAAUGGAAAAGACAGAAUAGGAUUACAGUAAAAACGAAAUAUCACAAUACUUAUCAAAUCUAUUGCAUCAACUGAAAUGGAGAAGGUAAAUGAUAAAAUAGUUGGAACGUUUAUGAUUAAUAAAUUAAGGAACACUAAGAAACAAUUAAUAUGGAGUGGAUUAAAAUCUAGUAACUCAUCAAAAGUCACUAAUGUAAGUAAUGUUUCUAUGGCCAAUGAUUUUUUAGUAUUUGGUCCAGAUGCUAGCUUUAUUGAUUACGUGGAUAGUAUAGCACGUUGGCUGCCCUGUGAAUCUGGUUCGUUUUAAUCGUCCAAUACUUGAUGCAGUCUUCAAAACCAAUCCAUCCGGCAGUGCAUACCGGCAUACCGUCGAAAGCCAUCCGUUCAUGUGUCCGCGACGACGGCACGCCGGCGAUUCGAAAGCUCGUGGCUCAUUGGGAUGGCAACUACAACUAAAAUCACGUUAUCGUUUUAGUCUACAUUGGUGGCUAUUGAUCAUAGAAUGACAAUGUAAACUUUCGCUUACAUUUUUUCUCGAAAUGCUUAGGUUUAUUUCAUUUGUAUAUGUUACAAUAAA
This is a long non-coding RNA of Anopheles bellator, 1432 nucleotides long. RefSeq lists it as uncharacterized. The transcript has 3 exons. NCBI's taxonomy places the organism in Eukaryota, Metazoa, Arthropoda, Insecta, Diptera, Culicidae. The record is from RefSeq and is a predicted model, not a curated record.